Cinara cedri is the source of this 279-nucleotide non-coding RNA. The record is from the annotation of a GenBank genome assembly. Lineage: Eukaryota; Metazoa; Arthropoda; Insecta; Hemiptera; Aphididae.
UUCGCUACCGCGGCACCGAAAAUAACAACAAGAAUACUAAUAAUAGUAUACAGGGUGUAUCUGCGGGAUUUUACGAUUUCUCAUUCAAUUUACAUUGGAAAUCCUGCACUCUGUAUAAAACCGCUCAGAGUUCAGGUAUGGUGUUAUUAUGGCGACCGUUGAACGAGAACGAUAGAUGGAAACACGCCAUAUGUGCGACCGGCGACGAUCAUUAACCCAGUAUACCUACUUACACCAGCUGAUGGGGCAUUACGUUUCUCGCGGAUUUGCCGCCAUUCG